This 460-nucleotide ribosomal RNA is filed under the name uncultured bacterium. Its description in RNAcentral is "partial 16S ribosomal RNA". It matches the Rfam family "Bacterial small subunit ribosomal RNA", at positions 338 to 795 of the family's 1533-position model. The record is from RNAcentral.
CCUACGGGAGGCAGCAGUGAGGAAUAUUGGUCAAUGGCCGGAAGGCUGAACCAGCCAUGCCGCGUGAAGGUCAGUGCCCUAUGGGCGUUAAACUUCUUUUGUGCGGGAGCAAUAAUGGUCACGUGUGACCAGACGAGAGUACCGUACGAAUAAGCAUCGGCUAACUCCGUGCCAGCAGCCGCGGUAAUACGGGGGAUGCAAGCGUUAUCCGGAUUUAUUGGGUUUAAAGGGUGCGUAGGCUGGGAGGUAAGUCAGCGGUGAAAUGCCCCCGCUCAACGGGGUGAAGUGCCAUUGAUACUGCCUGGCUGGAAUGCGGAUGCGGUGGGAGGAAUGUGUGGUGUAGCGGUGAAAUGCAUAGAUAUCACACAGAACACCGAUUGCGAAGGCAUCUCACGAAUCCGCGAUUGACGCUGAUGCACGAAAGCGUGGGUAUCAAACAGGAUUAGAUACCCUUGUAGUC